UAUACUCCAAAUGAACUACCUAAAAAGCAGCAAAUUGUCCUAGACUAUGAAAACCAUUAAACAUUAAACUUAAUACUCUAAAUGUCAAUAUUUAAGUGCUACUCUAAAAAAUGUUUCCCCUAAAGAGGUAAAGAAAAAUUCUUGAACCCUAGAGUUUAAAGUCCAAUGAAUUUUGUUUUUCAAAAAUGAUAAAUAUAAUCCUAAACCUGUGCAUAACUCUUCCUAAUUCUCAAAGUGACCGCAAAUCCUACAUGAGAAAACAUGAGAAACUUCCUAGAUGUCAUAAUGGAAGGCCUGACUCAAAUUAUUGGCCAAGGCUGC
Molecule: long non-coding RNA, 321 nt
Filed under: Spirodela polyrhiza (greater duckweed)
Lineage: Eukaryota; Viridiplantae; Streptophyta; Magnoliopsida; Alismatales; Araceae
Description: long non-coding RNA (SPOL_LNC001178)
Source: RNAcentral